Anopheles stephensi (Asian malaria mosquito) is the source of this 617-nucleotide long non-coding RNA. RefSeq lists it as uncharacterized. Lineage: Eukaryota; Metazoa; Arthropoda; Insecta; Diptera; Culicidae. The record is from RefSeq and is a predicted model, not a curated record. The transcript has 2 exons.
UUUAGAUUCUGGCUGGAGCAGGCUAAGCGAGCAGGUAUAGUUGAGGCCUUAAGUCGUCGAUACCGUAAAUAAAACGGGGGAAGACAGAUAAGAUAAGCUACCUGGCGGACAAUCGAAAACAGUGGUUUUGUGGCUGUAACGCAGCUUAUCUAGGCGCAUUCGUAGAAACGGACAACGUACUUAUUUGCAAACUGCCCACCGAAGAAGCUGGAGCUCCUUUUCGGGACGUGUUAUUAGUCGAAGUUCGCAUUUGAAGGGAAAAAAAUACCAUGAAGCUAGCGCUGCUGCUGUUCGGUGUAGUUUUGUUGGCAAGCUUGGCCUACGGACGACCAGCCGGUUGUGAGGAUGAGCCGGAAGUUCCACCACUAGUAGUGGACGAACUACAUGUGGAUAUUGUUGUGCUGCAGGAACCGAACUCGUCGAAGGGCUUAUUACACAAUCCCAAGAACAUCAUUGAUGCUCCCAAGGUAUGCCCUGACGGACAAAAACUCGACCACCAAGGAAAAUGUAGACCCGUAAUGGGGUAGAGCGACCAAAAAGGAUAUUAUGAGAUGCUGCAAAUAAAUGAAUGAAUAAACCUAAGAGGGUGCAAGAGAGAGAGAGCUGAUAUUUAGAAA